CUGCCCCAGAGGGGUCUGGGGCCAGGGAAAGGGGUUAAAUUUUUCUUUCCCCAAGUACAGAGCUGCCCUGCCCUACCCUGCUCUGUUCUGCUAAAAAACUUACUGCUGGCUGCAACUGUAAACUACAAAUUCCAGAGGCACCUGGAAGCAGGAAGAGGAAGUGAUGAGCAAUGCUGUAGAGUCCUGUUGCAGCUGUAAUUCUGGAGUGCAAAUCCCAGAGACCUCAGGGGCACCAGGAAGAGGAAGUGAACAUAUAGCCCGUGCUGGCUACAUGCUAAAGCUGUGCUCUAGCACCUCCCAGCUUGUGGCCUGAGCCACUGCAGGCAUGUGGCUGCAUUACCUGAAUCAAAAGCAAAUGUCUGUCCAGUUAUUUCUCAGUUUAAUCUCUGCUGAUUAGACUAACCUGCAAAGACUGAAUUGAUUCAGCCUUGGGCUUUUUAACUGUCUGUACUUAGCUGAGAAGGGAAGACUGAGGUGGGAUUUAAUAACAGCCUUCAACUACCUGCAGGGUGGUUCCAAAGAGGAUGGAGCUGGACUGUUCUCAGUGGUGGCAGAUGACAGAACAAGGAGCAACAGUUUUAAGCUUUAGCAGGGGAAAUUUAAGUUAAAUAUUUUAGGUUAGGUUGUUUAGGAAAAACUUUCUUACUAGGAGAAAGAAAGUUGGACUCGAUGAUCUAUUGAGGUCCCUUCCGACCCUAACAUCUAUGAAUCUAGGAGGGUAGUAAAGCACUGUGUGCCUGCCUGGCUUCGAACGCCCACUCAUGUGCCACCUUGGCCCGAACUGUAGAGGGCACAUGCUCUCUGGCUUCAUGGAUUCCCUGAGGUGGGCUUUGGUUGUCCCUCUGGGCUCCCCCGAACUCACCUGUCAUGUCUUUGAAUGUUACUUCGGGGAGUGGGGUAGCCUCGAAGGUCCCCUCAGGGAUGACCACUCCACUCACGGGAUGUUCAUGGGGCUCCACCUCCCCUACACCCCAACCUUACACCAACCUCUGGCGGGGUGCCAGGUGUCAACACAGCCACCUCUCCUCAGUGGAUGUCCCUUGUGCCUUAUUGUGUCCCACUUUCCUCCUUGGGGCAGGAUCGUUAGUUGUUUCAGACCCUAUGCCUGGGGCCCCUUUGAGCCCGUCGGCUCUGUUCCUGGUGUCGGCAUGGGUUCCCCUGUCAAGCAUGGGGUAAAGAAAACAAAAUGAAGAAAAGAAGAAAAAAAAAAGAACCCCAAAAGGGUCUUCCUGUCCGGUGUCCUACCGGUUGGUUCUUCCCGCACUCCUGCCCGUGCUUGGCAGUAUUCCCCCCAUGCUGGUCCUGCGGGGUCUCUCUUCCCUUUCCGCUCCCAGCCCAGCUCCCUGACCCGGUACCUGGAAGCGGCUGGGUGGACAAACUUCUGCUUCCCCAGGGUAGGUCUCAGCCUGUUCCUCUGGGUCACCGUCCUUAUUGCACUGUUGUUCGGAACCUCCACCACCGAACUUCCUCGGAGGUACAAGGGGGAAGUCACCCCUGGUACUCCUCCCCUCCUGGGGCUCUGCCUCGGUACCUUUGGUGUGAGGGACCCCUGCUGCUCCAGCUGCCACCCAUCAUAUGGGCGCUCCCCGUUCAUGCCGGCCCUGUCUGUUGCUGGCACGGAGAGCCUUUGCCUCCUCACUCACUCUCUCCGCCUUACUGCCGGUGGCCGCUUUUAUCUUUGCUGGCCGGUGCAUCCCUGUGACGUCACCCACUGGUUUUAAUUGCAUAAAGACGCAGCUUGUGAACCACGUGGGCUCUUCUCUUCGUCCCUCCGGCAUUGUGCCUCCUACAGGUGAGUAGUUAUUUCAUGCUUCCCUCUUUAUUUUGAUGGUUUUUUUCCAUGCUGUGCCCUGCAGGCGGGGCUUCCCAAUCCUUCUUCUUGGUCUCCCCGGGACACACUGGAAUAAGGUACCCAGAGAAGUUGUGGUCUCUCCAUCCUUACAGGUUUUUAACACCUGGCUUAAGCAGGGGUCUUAAAGCAGAGGAUUGGACUACGCCUCUUGAAAUCCCUUCUAGCCCUAAUUUUCUAUGUAUCUAUGGUUCUAUAUGUAUUAGGGAGAUGCCCUUAUUUGUUGGAAUUAAACAAAGAUGAAGAGAGCUAUUUAGAAUAUUUCAGCCUGUUUCUGUUCUCACUUAAAUUAACAGGAUUCUGGAACAUUAUUAUUGCAGCUAAUAAAUGCAUUUGGCAUUUAUACUUAAAGCUAGGGGGUGAAAAGAACCCUUAAGAUGCUAGGAGAUCUCAAUUCUUACUGAGGACAAAGGAAUAUUAAGGCUCUCUAGGGCCAGGAAGGAGACAAUCAGCAGGACUGCAAUACCAAAUAUUGAAGUGUGUUUCACAAGAGCUGACAAGUGGCAAGGGUUACCGCCUUCAUUAGGUUAGCAGUUGAAAAAUCUGAAGAAAGACAGAGUUAGCUGGAGGACAGGAUUCAAAUCAAGCCAUUGUUAACAAUACUUAUAGCAUCCUCAGAUGUAUUUUCACAGAAAGAAUUUAAAUACACAUCUACUUCCUAGAAAGGAUUACAACCAUUAGAUUUAAUCCAAACAAGGAUAACAAUCAAUAGAAGACUUCAUAAUCCAUGAGGAAGGAAUGAUGGGUGAUGUCCUGCCCUAGAGAAGGAGGAGUUAUGCUGCCACAAUACCACAACAUCCCCUUACCAGAUUUUCAGCUUCCACCGGAUUCUGUGCCAACUUCUGUCAAUGACAGGCUGGAUCCAGCCCUGGCAUACACAGUUCUGCAGGUCCAGCAUGUGCACAUGAGGGAGAGGCACCAGCCACCACCGGGGAUGUGCCCUCAGGGACACUGCCACCCUUGGCCAGCAUGCUCCACAUGCACUGCUUCCAACAGCGGCAGACACAAGACUGGACCCUGCUGUUGUACCAGCUGGUCACCAUGGCAGAGAAGUGGCUGGCAGACUCAUGGGCCUGGCACGCCAAAGACAUUGCAUGUGACUGGGAGAAGGAUUGUGAGGACCAGGUGUUCUGGGACAGGCUUCUGGCCUUCAAGGACAGGCACAUUGCUCUCCUCAAGAAAAUGUUAAAGGUGAAGGAGCGGCAAGUGGCCAUGGUGGUCUGGGCAGUGGAGGCUCCAGAGGAGGACCACCAGGUGCUGGACACCAUCCUGGCCCUGAUGGUCACCUUCAUGUCACCUGCUGCCUUGCCCCUGGCACUGCCUGUCCCGUGACAGCCACCCAGCAGCAAGUCCCACAGUGGGCUUAGGCUGAGGGGCAGCAGCACCUGCAGCAGCCAGGGCUCCCUGCCCUUGCACUCACGCUGGGUCCCCCAGCAGCCGGCCCCUCUACCAGGGACCUCCUCCUCCCACCGCCGUUGUUUGCCCAUGAGGCAUAUGGCACUUUAACAGGGACUGCCUGCAGUAGGGCCAGCACUGCACAUGGGCCCUGCUGGCCUUGGUUUCAUGAUGGAGGAGGAGGAUCCAGCAGUGCAGGCAGAACAGUGGCCACCCUCAACCCUGGGUGAGCUCCCCACCUGAUGGCCUUGCUGUGGUGUGCGCACCCAUGGUCGUAUGGCCAGAGGCUGGGGUGCUGGGCACCUGUCCCCUGAAUCCUCCCUGUAGGCACCUCCACCCCACCAUCCCCCACCCUGGGAGACCACACAGCACAGUGUAUAUUGUUUGCACAGGGAAGAGGGUGCUUUAUUGUUGGUGGGUGGUGGGAUUAGUGGUGUGGUCUGGGUUUGGGGGGAAGGGUGGGAGGGAGUCUGUAGUUGUGGAGGGAGAGUGGGACAGGGUCUCGGUUUGUGGAGGGAAAUAAAAACAUUUGCUGAAAACUGUCCACAGUUUCCACUGAGGUCCAGGGCCUCUGUGAGUGGGGGGCCAUUACUGUCACUGCCUCCACAGCUGAUGCUCCAAGUGCCAGGUCUCCUUUGCCUGCUGCUUCCCUUCUCUGCUCACACCUUGUGGAAGAGCUCUCCUUGGGCCUCACAGAUGUUAUGCAGCACACAGGCUGUGACGAUGACCCAGGGGAUAUUGGCCUCCAUGACCUUGAGGCAGGCAGUGAAGGUGCACCAGCAUCCUUUGAGGUGGCUAAAGGCACACUCCACCAGUGCAUGGCUCCAGCCUAGGUACCUGUUGAAAUAUGCCUGGUAUAGGUUGAGCUGGCUGAUGUAGGGCCACAUGAGCCAGGUGAGGAGUGGGUAGGUGGGGUCCCUGAUAAUGACAUUGCCUGAUAAUGGAGGUCUGGAACACCUCUGCACCAGGGCGGAAUUCCAGAAGAACCAGGCAUUGUGGGUACUAUUAGCUAAGCCAGGGCUGAUAUGUCUGAAGGAGCCUGGGUGGUCCACCGCAGCUUGAAGUACAACUGAAUGGAAGCUCCACAGUCUGUAGUAUGGGUAGUGCCCCCAGGGCAGGCAGGUGAUGGGGAUGUGGGUCCUAUCCAGGGUCCCAGUGCACUACAGAAAGCCCAGGGUGCAGAAUCCUGCCACCACCUUCAGGGGGUCAUUGACCUGGAGCAUGGUGUAGGCCAGAAUGUUCUGGAGGAUGCCAAAGACCUCCAGGAUGGCCUCCCUAGUGGUUGUUUUGCCCACCCCGAAGAGGUGGCCGAUGUACUGUAGGCUGGUGGGCAUGGUUAGCUUGAGGAGGGUGAUGGCCAGCUAGGUCUCUAUGGGGAAGGACAGCUGCAUAGUGGUGGGCUGUGUUUCAGGUACAGGUGGAGCUGGUCAAGUAGCAACCCAAAGGUGGGGUGGUGAGCCAGGCCAUGUGGCCAUUUAGCAUGGGAGGGUGAGAGCAGGAGAGUGGAGCAGGGCAGGAGGAGGCCUGGAGCAGCCUACUCCCAUAAGCAACAAAUCCCCUCCGAGGAGGCUGCAUGUGUAGAUACCUGCCCAGUGCUGUUUUACUGCAUAGUAAACCCAAAUACCCUUAAUUGGACAUGUAGAUUCACCCAGUGUUCUUUAAUCAACACUGCUAUCUGCUUCUCUCCCAUGGUUGCUUUUAUUUUUUGCUUUUCAAUAAAGAAGAGUGAAAAAAUCAAA
Long non-coding RNA from Alligator mississippiensis (American alligator), 4983 nucleotides. RefSeq lists it as uncharacterized. The transcript has 2 exons. Lineage: Eukaryota; Metazoa; Chordata; Crocodylia; Alligatoridae. The record is from RefSeq and is a predicted model, not a curated record.